This 468-nucleotide ribosomal RNA is filed under the name uncultured bacterium. Its description in RNAcentral is "partial 16S ribosomal RNA". It matches the Rfam family "Bacterial small subunit ribosomal RNA", at positions 28 to 507 of the family's 1533-position model. The record is from RNAcentral.
GACGAACGCUGGCGGCGUGCUUAACACAUGCCAGUCGAACGGAAAGGCCCUGCUUUUGUGGGGUGCUCGAGUGGCGAAAGGGUGAGUAACACGUGAGUAACCUGCCCUUGUCUUUGGGAUAACUUCAGGAAACUGGGGCUAAUACCGGAUAGGAGCUCCUGCUGCAUGGUGGGGGUUGGAAAGUUUCGGCGGUUGGGGAUGGACUCGCGGCUUAUCAGCUUGUUGGUGGGGUAGUGGCUUACCAAGGCUUUGACGGGUAGCCGGCCUGAGAGGGUGACCGGCCACAUUGGGACUGAGAUACGGCCCAGACUCCUACGGGAGGCAGCAGUGGGGAAUAUUGCACAAUGGGCGGAAGCCUGAUGCAGCAACGCCGCGUGCGGGAUGACGGCCUUCGGGUUGUAAACCGCUUUCGCCUGUGACGAAGCGUGAGUGACGGUAAUGGGUAAAGAAGCACCGGCUAACUACGUG